This 81-nucleotide transfer RNA is filed under the name Paragonimus heterotremus. It matches the Rfam family "tRNA". Rfam says of the family: Transfer RNA (tRNA) molecules are approximately 80 nucleotides in length. Lineage: Eukaryota; Metazoa; Platyhelminthes; Trematoda; Plagiorchiida; Troglotrematidae. The record is from Rfam by way of RNAcentral.
GGCUCCGUAGCUUAGCUGGUAGAGCACUUGCCGCGUUAAGGCAAGGUGUUUCUCUCGCUGGUUCGAAUCCAGCCGAAGCCC